RNAcentral lists this long non-coding RNA (1168 nucleotides) under Pogona vitticeps (central bearded dragon). Its description in RNAcentral is "lncRNA (ENSPVIG00000016816.1)". Lineage: Eukaryota; Metazoa; Chordata; Lepidosauria; Squamata; Agamidae. The record is from RNAcentral.
UUGUAUCUUUCAUUACUAUACCACAAAGUGGAUCAGGUCUGAUCAAGGCUGUUCAACGUUGGCCACAGAAAUGAGGCGGCUUCUUUUAAAAAACAAGACACUCCCUCCCACAAUGGGUACCCCCUACCACAUGGUAUGUGAUGUGGGAUAGAUCCAGAUGUGGGAUGUAGAAGGAGGGGUGAAAUCUCCACCCUUCAAACAGAGACAAGAGACCUGUGGGUUCCUGGAGGCUGGCUACCCAAGAGACCAUCUCUGGUCCUUGGCACACUUUUUCCCUUAGUGGGAAAAAGAAGGGGAGUCCUUCUCAGCCCGGCCCAGAUAUCCAGGGCCAAUCCCUGCUGUUUCAGGAACCUUCAUUCUGAGAAAUGUUGGGGAUUAACUUUCCUGAUGGCCUAGUAGUGAAAGUGAAAAAGACGAGUUCUAGGCGCAGGAGCCAGGCCAGGAAAGCAGUUGGCAGCCCAGCCUACCUAACCACCACUGAGCCCUGUCAAAGCUGAGACUAGUUUUCAUUCAAAAGUUGGUGGUUGCUCUGCUGGGUUCCAGAGCCUGGGUCUGUUUACGUGGUUGCUGCAGCAACGCUGUUCCAAGCCAGCCCAGGGCUACUGGUCAUUCAUGCUCUGGACCAGGUCGCCGACAGAAGGAGCUUUGGGGCUCUCCUGCUGGUGGCUCUUGGUUGGGCAAGAGGUUCGCUUCAACCAGGCUCUCCGGCACCAGCACAUCGGGGAACCGAGAAGGAUAUCCAGAGCUUUCAGAGGUGUGAGGAGGUGGUGCCUGUGUUCCCGCGGUGCAGGCACUCCAGCAGCAGAAGACCCUGCUCCUUUACCUGAGAAUUAGGAGCCCAAACAGCUGAUGCACUGCCCUCACACACAGUUCCUGUAGCCAAACAAAACCCCAUUCCCUGCCCUCAAGGAGCCUCUCUAGUCUAAACCCGCAACAUUUCUAAUCAGGAGAGAAAGGGGAGGGAGAGGAAACAAGAUUAGAACCUGACGCCCCCUGACACCCUUUUUCCUCUCUUAUCGCUCCUUUCACUUUGUGUAAUGUUUUAUUAUUUAAUAAUUGUUUAUAUAUCAAUUUUAUUGUAGUAUUUAUGUUGUUAGCCGCCUAGAGUGGUCCUGACCCGACCAGAUAGGCGAGAUAUAAAUAAAAUAAAAUAAAACAAAAUAAAACA